ACCUACGGGGCGCAGCAGUGGGGGAUAUUGCACAAUGGGGGGAACCCUGAUGCAGCGACGCCGCGUGGGUGAAGAAGCGCCUCGGCGCGUAAAGCCCUGUCAGCAGGGAAGAAAAUGAUGGUACCUGAAGAAGAAGCCCCGGCUAACUACGUGCCAGCAGCCGCGGUAAUACAUAGGGGGCAAGCGUUAUCCGGAUUUACUGGGUGUAAAGGGGGCGCAGACGGCGAUGCAAGCCAGGAGUGAAAGCCCGGGGCCCAACCCCGGGACUGCUCUUGGAACUGCGUGGCUGGAGUGCAGGAGGGGCG
RNAcentral lists this ribosomal RNA (305 nucleotides) under uncultured bacterium. RNAcentral describes it as "bacterial SSU rRNA". It matches the Rfam family "Bacterial small subunit ribosomal RNA", at positions 337 to 659 of the family's 1533-position model. The record is from RNAcentral.